Molecule: unclassified non-coding RNA, 404 nt
Filed under: soil metagenome
Description: partial contains 5.8S ribosomal RNA, internal transcribed spacer 2, and large subunit ribosomal RNA
Rfam family: 5.8S ribosomal RNA (bases 1-121)
Source: RNAcentral
GAUGAAGAACGUAGCGAAAUGCGAUAAGUAAUGUGAAUUGCAGAAUUCAGUGAAUCAUCGAAUCUUUGAACGCACCUUGCGCCCUUUGGCUAUUCCGAAGGGCAUGCCUGUUUGAGUAUCAUGAACAUCUCAACUCCUCACGGUUCGCCCGUGACGAGCUUGGACUUUGGGGGUCUUGCCGGCCUGCGGGUCAGCUCCUCUCAAAUGAAUCAGCUUGCCGGUGUUUGGUGGCGUCACAGGUGUGAUAAAUAUCUACGCUUGUGGUUUUCCGCCAGGUAACCUCCAGCGAUGGGGGUUCACUGGAGCUCACGAAUGUCUCUCCUCGGUGAGGACAGCUCUUUGAACGUUUGAUCUCAAAUCAGGUAGGGCUACCCGCUGAACUUAAGCAUAUCAAUAACGGAGGA